AGCAUAUCAAUAAGCGGAGGAAAAGAAACCAACAGGGAUUGCCCUAGUAACGGCGAGUGAAGCGGCAACAGCUCAAAUUUGAAAUCUGGCGCAAGCCCGAGUUGUAAUUUGUAGAGGAUGCUUCUAGGUAGCGACCGGUCUAAGUUCCUUGGAACAGGACGUCAUAGAGGGUGAGAAUCCCGUAUGUGACCGGCCCGCACCUUCUACGUAGCUCCUUCGACGAGUCGAGUUGUUUGGGAAUGCAGCUCUAAAUGGGAGGUAAAUUUCUUCUAAAGCUAAAUACCGGCCAGAGACCGAUAGCGCACAAGUAGAGUGAUCGAAAGAUGAAAAGCACUUUGGAAAGAGAGUUAAAAAGCACGUGAAAUUGUUGAAAGGGAAGCGCUCACAACCAGACUUCUGGGCGGUGUUCCGCCGGUCUUCUGACCGGUCUACUCACCGUCCCGAGGCCAACAUCAUCUGGGACCGCUGGAUAAGACCUUAGGAAUGUAGCUCCCCCUCGGGGGAGUGUUAUAGCCUGUGGUGAUGCAGCGCGUCUCGGGUGAGGUCCGCGCUUCGGCAAGGAUGUUGGCGUAAUGGUUGUCAGCGGCCCGUCUUGAAACACGGACCAAGGAGUCUAACAUCUAUGCGAGUGUUCGGGUGUCAAACCCCUACGCGUAAUGAAAGUGAACGGAGGUGGGAAGCGUAAGCUGCACCAUCGACCGAUCCUGAUGUCCUCGGAUGGAUUUGAGUAAGAGCAUAGCUGUUGGGACCCGAAAGAUGGUGAACUAUGCCUGAAUAGGGUGAAGCCAGAGGAAACUCUGGUGGAGGCUCGCAGCGGUUCUGACGUGCAAAUCGAUCGUCAAAUUUGGGUAUAGGGGCGAAAGACUAAUCGAACCAU
Molecule: ribosomal RNA, 877 nt
Filed under: Ramularia hydrangeae-macrophyllae
Lineage: Eukaryota; Fungi; Ascomycota; Dothideomycetes; Mycosphaerellales; Mycosphaerellaceae
Description: eukaryotic LSU rRNA
Rfam family: Eukaryotic large subunit ribosomal RNA
Source: RNAcentral